CUGUGAUUCCCCUAGUAAUGGCGAAUGAAACGGGAAGAGCCCAUCGUCGAAUCGCAAGUCAUCUCGGCUUUGUGAAAUGUGACGUUUGGGAGGGUCGCCCACGGUUCAGACGAUCAGUCCAAGUCCAACUUGACAGUGGCCACAGCCCAUAGAGGGUGAUAGGCCCGUAAGGCGGUUGUCUGGCUGUGCUGACCUCUCUCUAGAGUCGGAUUGCUUGGGAGUGCAGUCCAAAGUGCGAGGUAAACUCCUCGUAAGGCUAAAUAUAACCCCGAGACCGAUAGCAAACAAGUACAGUGAUGGAAAAUUGAAAAGAACUUUGAAGAGAGAGUUAAGAGUACGUGAAACUGUGUGGUGGUAAACGGAGGCGUUCUCGAAGUGUCCGUGGGGGACUCAAGCUUGGUGGCGGGCAGCCGGCGCUCCUUGAUCAGCAAUGACUGGGUGUGUCGUGCAGGCUUGCCUCCCGGCCGCACUUUCCCCGCGGUUGACGGCAGGAACUGUUGGGACCGGACCAAAGGCCUGGGAUGAAGUUGCUUGCCCUCACGGGCUUGUAGCUCCCGGUGUCCUGGCUUCGGGCCCGACGGGGUAUGAGUGGACUUGUAUAGCAAGCGACAGCCUGUUGCGGUUCACAUCUCUCUGCCGAGUAGGUC
Molecule: ribosomal RNA, 647 nt
Filed under: Boeckella poppei
Lineage: Eukaryota; Metazoa; Arthropoda; Copepoda; Calanoida; Centropagidae
Description: partial large subunit ribosomal RNA
Rfam family: Eukaryotic large subunit ribosomal RNA
Source: RNAcentral